UAGAUACCCUGGUAGUCCGCACGGUAAACGAUGAACACUAGGUGUCGGGAGGAAUCUCGGUGCCGGCGCAAACGCAAUAAGUGUUCCGCCUGGGGAGUACGUUCGCAAGAAUAAAACUCAAAGGAAUUGACGGGGACCCGCACAAGUAGCGGAGCAUGUGGUUUAAUUCGAAGCAACGCGAAGAACCUUACCUAAGCUUGACAUGGGAUUGAAAAGCAAUGUAAAGUUGUAAUAAUACCUUCGGGUAUAC
RNAcentral lists this ribosomal RNA (250 nucleotides) under uncultured bacterium. RNAcentral's name for it is "partial 16S ribosomal RNA". It matches the Rfam family "Bacterial small subunit ribosomal RNA", at positions 779 to 1029 of the family's 1533-position model. The record is from RNAcentral.